GGCUCUGUAGUGUAGCGGUUAUCACGGCGGAUUCUGAUUCACGUGUGUCGUCGAGCAUUCCGUCAACCCAGGUUCGAGCCCUGGCAGGGCCU
Fomitopsis betulina (razor strop fungus) is the source of this 92-nucleotide non-coding RNA. The record is from the annotation of a GenBank genome assembly. Lineage: Eukaryota; Fungi; Basidiomycota; Agaricomycetes; Polyporales; Fomitopsidaceae.